Molecule: unclassified non-coding RNA, 256 nt
Filed under: Hevea brasiliensis (rubber tree)
Lineage: Eukaryota; Viridiplantae; Streptophyta; Magnoliopsida; Malpighiales; Euphorbiaceae
Source: RNAcentral
AGCACCAAGAGUUCCAUUCUCUGUAUAGUCUUUGCCUCAAACACAAAUCUAGAAUCAGCAACUUGUAGGUCUAACAAAAGGGGAACUUGGGUCUCCUCCACUUUAGCAGCAAUGGAAAGACAGGCAACAGCAGCAAGCUGACUCAUCCAAGGCUUAUCUUUCUGAAAGCACCAUCCAGACACAAACCUAUCAAAAUAGUUCACAGCUAAAACAGCAGUGGUAGCAGUAAAACCAUAGUAAGCAAUGACCCUCAACA